GCCCCGGUAGCUCAGCUGGAUAGAGUGGCCCCCUCCUAAGGGGCAGGUCACAGGUUCGACUCCUGUUCGGGGCACCA
This 77-nucleotide transfer RNA is filed under the name Pseudomonadota bacterium. Its description in RNAcentral is "Proteobacteria bacterium (cold seep metagenome) tRNA-Arg". It matches the Rfam family "tRNA". Rfam says of the family: Transfer RNA (tRNA) molecules are approximately 80 nucleotides in length. Their secondary structure includes four short double-helical elements and three loops (D, anti-codon, and T loops). The record is from RNAcentral. Lineage: Bacteria; Pseudomonadati; Pseudomonadota.